CGCUGGCGGGUCUUGUCCGGCAGCCGAAGCUGGGCGUGGUGGUAAUCAGAAAUGAGUCUGGGCUGCGGAGAUCUGGAGCUUGUGGAGAAAAGUAACUGGCGCGAAAAAUCAGUCACCUCGUGUGCCGUUGUUAGUGAGGAGGCAGUGUCUCCGGAGAGAAAGAUGAAAGCGCUCGGUCUCCCCGCCGUGACCAUCAUCGGGGAACCGCAUUUUGCGACGAGAGUGGGAAAGUUUCGUGCAGAUGUGGUUGGCAGCAGUCAGGCUUGCCCCUGGGACUCUCUUCUGUGGAUUUUCCCACCAGCCAUCUCUUCAACCCAUUCAUCAUGUUCAAAAAUUUCUGAGGUCCAAGAGGUCCUAACUUGUUCUGAGGCAACCGAAGACCAAGAAUGGUCUUCAGUGAAGGAGACAGAAAAAUGAGAAGGAAUAUGUGGGCAAAGUAAAAUGCUUUGGGAAAGAAGCAAGAGACAGAAGACCUACCUUCAGAUCAGUGCUUCAAAUCCUCCUUCUAGCAGCCUCUGAGGCACCAGAGGCUAAAGCUCGGGAAAAAGAACCUGAGUAUCUUUGCAUGUGUAUUGCUCUCAUGAAGUAGUUUACAAGCGAGGAUGUAUUACAACCAAUGAUUUUUCCGUUUAAAUGGAUGGUGACUUCCCAGCUAAACAUUCUUUUUGCCUAAUGGAAGCAGUCUGAUUUUUCAAAUUUUUAGUGUUGUUUCACGGAAGAAAAGCAAUCCAGAGUACAGUUAUUUUAUUCAUAAGGAAAAGAAUUAAUUUUCUUGUGGAAUCCCAGCUUUUCUAUUCAUAUUUGUGCACUAGAGUUUUAAAUUUUAAAAUCAAAGAAGUCCAAAACCUUUAUUCUAAAAUUGUAUUUUUUUCAUUGUAUGCAAGAUAGAUCACUAUUAUUUCUGUGCUAAUAGUUAUUUAGAAAAUCAUACUAUUUAGUAUAUCACAGUUGUUUACAUGAUUUUUUUAGAUCAAUCUUUUACUAUGAGAAGGAUGUAAAUGAUAAGUAUAUGCUUACUCGUAAUUCUUUUCUGAAAAUGGUAAAAUUAAGGAAAACAGAAAUGUUGUAUAUUCAUUUCAACAUACAUUAUGACUGAAACUGGAAUCUUGGAUAUAAAGCAUGACAAGAAUAUGAAACAGCAAAAUUUAAAGGGUCUAACAUUCUGGGCUUUGCAAGAAGUAUGAAACUUAUUGACAAUGAGUAAUCUCUAAUCUUCUCUUGAUGAUUCGGUAAUGUGUUAUUAUGUUACAAUAAGUUAGUAUACCUACAGAAUAAGGAUGGGCUGGUUGUAAAAAGUUAAUUUGGACUAAGCAUUUUUAAAAUUACUGUAUUCGGUGGUUUUGAACUGAAUAAUACAUAUUUCUUCCAAAUUUUCACUCAACUGAGAAAUGUUCAAUAUUUUGCCCUUCUUGUGGCUUUUGGGGUAUUCAUAUCUGGUGUUCUGUUCUAGACUAAUCUCCCUUGCACAUCGAGUCUACCUCUGCAUGCCACAGCUUUAGCUGUAGCUCGUAGCAACAGUUACAGUUAAGGAUGCUUAAGAGCUUCUAUUCUAAAGCGGCUUUUUAGUUUCUUCUAACUUUUUUUUACAUUUGUUCUUUGUUUCUUUGUUUCGUUCUUUUUCUUUCUUUUUCUUUCUUUCUUUCUUUCUUUCUUUCUUUCUUUCUUGACUGAAGGUAUUUAUGGAAUGACCUCAUAAAGAAAGAAUCUUUUCCAUCAUGGAAUACCCACCUACUACUUGACAAUAUUCCUGAGAUAUAUAGAAAGCUUUUCUUAUUUUUUUCCCUCUAUGUUUGUAAAAAAUAAUUAAAAGAAAUCCAUAAAGAACCCCUAAGGAACAGGUGCUACCUAUUUGCAAUGUAUAUACUCCAAACAGUUUGAAAACGAUAUACAUCAGUUACCUCCUACUUUUACGGGGAAAAAAUAAAAUUGCUUUCGACACAGCUGCCUUUAAAAUUGAUAUCCGAAAAUACACUUAUUUUCAGAUGGUUGGAAAAGCCAUGCUUAAACACUGUCCAAACACUAAGGCCAGGGAUAUUCAAAGUGCCUAUUGUCGGCCUAGUUUUGGGAAGGAGAUGAAAACAGAAUCAGUCUUUUUAAAAUAUACAGCCUAAAAAGCAGAUUUUUUUGAUGUUAAAGUAUAUCUUUAAAGAGAAUAAAAGAGCCUACAGAUUGCUUAUCCCUAUUUUUGUCAUGGUACAUUUACAGUCCAAUGCAGAGCAAACAAGAUGGUUACACCAGAUAACAAAAACAGUCUCUGAAUGCAGAAGUGACUAUCCAUGCUCCUCUUUCCUUAAAAAAAGCUCUUUCUCAUAUAAAGAUAUUAGCACCACUUUAAUUCUUGCAGUAAAUUUUUCCUUCCAGUUCAUAGGCCGAUCCCAAGAGGGAAAAAAUGUCCUCAGCUGUACCCCUUAUACGAGGCAGGCAGAUUUAGCAAGUCUUGAUCUGAGAAAGUACUAAUGCAAAUGCUUAAGAUUAAACAUGUGGUUAUGUGCUUUUCUGAAUUAAAAUCUGUGUCAGAACGCUUAUUUAGCUACAAUUCUGAUAUUAAGAAAAUCUUUCCAUGUUGGCUGACCUAAUACAGAUAGUGGCAUUAUUUUGAAUGUUCUUUUUGUUUUAUAAAUUUUGGGUAAGUUACAUACGAUAUGUAGAUAUUUGCAUGAGAGACAUAAACUAGCUCAUAAACAUUGCCUGCUUUAUUUUCAAAAUUAUUUCUGCUAUAAUUAUUGUGAUAAGAUAUGACUGUGACUGAGACCAGGUGAUACCUUCUAGAUACAGAGAUACAAAAGCUCUGAACUACUUGUGAAUAGAUAUGCAAGGACAAGCUCUUGCCAGAUAUAUUUGAAACUAAUAAAUGCUGGUAAUAACUGUGUUCUUGGCACGUAUACCAGCCCAUGCUAUUGUUGCUGUGUGUCACUACAACAUAAAAGUGGUCAACACUUAAGUACCUCCAGCUGUAUCUGGCUCAUGAGUGGAUAAAUGCACAAGUUGAACAAAAAUAAGCAAGACCAAGGAGCUAAUGUUCUUUAAAUCUCAGGUCUCCAUGAUGACCAGUUGCAUGUGGCAAACUGUGAAUGUUCUCCACUGGUAUCUUCGGCUUAAUCCUAAGAACAGGAAAAUGUAAAGCCCACUAAGACAUUGUGUGGCGUAAAGAAGUGAGUUAGCUUUAAAUGAAGUAUUUUUGGUACUGGCAACACUCAAGUUGUGAUAGCACGGAGCUUACUCUGUAGGAACUUUAUUCUGCUACAUGGGCAAGUUUAGCAGCCUGUCCUGCACUUCAUGCUAUUGUGAGAUGGCUGCUACACAGUAUUUUAUGUAAUACCUCUUAUGCAGAAGGUAUCCAACAGAGCAGAGGCACAUGGCAAAAAGCACUUCACUGGGCUAGAGCUACACUGCACCAUAUAAUAUAAUAAAAUAUACUUUAAAAAUGUAAUAAUGUAUAUUAUAUGCUAUAAUACAAUACACUACAAAGUUUAUUAUAUUAUAUUAUAUACACUACUUAGUUUAUUCUAACAACUUUUUCCUAUUCAUUAUAUCAUUCUCCCUUAAUCAGAAUUUUCCUGCAUAAAAUGUGGCCAUUCUUGAGAUGCUUUGAGAUUGAUCUUGAGAUUCUUUGUCAAGAAAAAAAACAUUUACAUGACAUGAAAGAAAUGAAGCAUUUCUGAAGGAAGGCUACCUCACUAUUUAUAUGGGACUUGUCUGCCAAUGAAAGGUAAAUCUCCAAACACCUACAAUUAUUGCAAGACUCAGGUGAAAUUAACGACUUCAAGACUACUGCUGCUAAUAGGGCAGAGUAAAAAUCCAUCAAGUGUCUCUUCUUUACUUUUAAUGCCGUCACAAUGACAAGAUCCUAUGUCCCCCAGGCCCAUGGUGGGUUGCCACUGCAUUGCAGGGAGAAGGCUGAUGUGUCAGAACACAUUAACUUCCAUAGCAGGUGGGCAAGGGAUGACUGUACAAAGAGGUAUUAGGCCCAAUGAUUAAGCAAUAUGAAAACAUAACAGUAAUUUCAAUUAACAGACAAAAUAUUAAAACAUUUGGAAAAUAUUCAUGGAAGAACAGCAGGGACACAUUUUUCAAAACAGUAAGAAUAAGAAAUAAAAGAAAGGCUAAAACCCCCAUAUUCACAAAUUAGGGAUUAUAACCCAAGAUUAGUUUUACACAGGGAAACAGAAAAGUACAAAAGUAACUGUCUUGUUAACUACAACAAAUUGAAAUUAAUGUAAUAUUUAUUAUCCUGUUAUCUUUCCAAAUCUUUGCUGAUUUGUAAAUGCUGCCAUUUUAGCCACAUGAAAUAAGAGAUUUACCUUAUGUGGGACAGAGAAUCAUAUUCCUAUCUAUUAUGCAUUGUAUUUCAGGACUUGUAUUAAAAUCACUUAUUUCCAAGAACAACAGGAUAGAGAUAAUAAGAAAGAUAGGUACUAAUAGACACAGAAACACAAAAUAAAACCAAAUAAAAUUAUAAGAGAUCUUUACAAGCUCUAUAUAAUACCUUGGAACCCUACUUGUUACUGUAUUACAUGAUGGUUUGUAUAAUAUGUUUUUUUGGAACUCUGCCCAGCACACUGCGCACAUUACUGUGAUGAGACCAGAGAGAGGGAAUACUGAGGGAAAGGGAGGCAACAUGAUGAUUCUUAUAGACCUUUUGGGUUUUAGAGGAAUUUGCAAAUGUUAUACAGUUCCUUCUACCCUGUGCAGCAACAGUAGUCUGACCAGACUGAAAAUGCUUGGAAUCCAUAGAAGUAGGGAUUUUUUGAAGGCUGAUAAGUGAUAGAUUUUGGAAAACUUCUUUUUUCAGCUCUUGAAGAAGUCUAUAAGCUGCUGAGUUUUUUUUAUUUGCAAAUAAAAGAGUACAGUGCUUACCAUUGUUAGAGAAUAAAUAUUGUCCUGCAUAAUUUAUGAUAAAGUAUGAUAAUUCCUAUACUUCUAAAGGCUUGCUAGAAUAUGUAAGUAUUAUGCUUGUACACUUUUGUAUAUGUCAAACUAAUUUAAAAAAGCCUUUAGGAGAAAAAGUAUUAUGUUAGAAAACUUUGGUAGUAUAAUAUCAACAUUGAUUAGGUAGUUAUAUAUUACAGAUAUUUUUUAGACUGCCAUACUUAGUGUUUCUUUUUGAUUGGGAAGAUGCUAAAAGAGUCCACUAUCAAGAAAUAUAGGAAAAUAAUGUCAAGCAAUGUCAAACCUCUUCAAAAUUACAGGAAAAACCUCCAAACAAAUAAUUCUAAGGAGUCAAAAGGAUGACGAAAACAUUAUUCAAAUGGCAGUUGUGGAAACAUUAUUCAAAUGACAAUUGUGUAAAGUUGUUCCUUGUGAGCUCUGGAAGUCAUAGUAGGUUUAAUUUCCUUUUUCUUUUCAUUCAACAACAACACCACCACCAUCAUCACAAAAAACUAAAACAAAAAAAAAAACAAA
Long non-coding RNA from Neopelma chrysocephalum (saffron-crested tyrant-manakin), 5403 nucleotides. RefSeq lists it as uncharacterized. Lineage: Eukaryota; Metazoa; Chordata; Aves; Passeriformes; Pipridae. The record is from RefSeq and is a predicted model, not a curated record. The transcript has 3 exons.